AGGAUGGGGUUUACCGGGAAUUAUGGGGCGUAAGCGCCGCAGGCGGUUUGUUAAGUCAGAAGUGAAUCCCCGUUUACAAACAAGGAACUGCAUCUGAUACUGGCAAGCUUGACUUCCGUAAAGGGGGGUAGAAUUCCAGGUGUAGCGGUGAAAUGCGUAGAGAUCUGGAGGAAUACCGGUGGCGAAUUCCCCCCCCUGGACGAAACUGACGCUCAGGUGCGAAAGCGUGGGGAGCAAACAGGAUUAGAUACCCUGGUAGUCCACGCCGUAAACGAUGUCGACUUGGAGGUUGUGCCCUUCAGGCGUGGCUUCCGGAGCUAACUC
RNAcentral lists this ribosomal RNA (324 nucleotides) under uncultured Shigella sp. RNAcentral's name for it is "bacterial SSU rRNA". It matches the Rfam family "Bacterial small subunit ribosomal RNA", at positions 531 to 858 of the family's 1533-position model. Lineage: Bacteria; Pseudomonadati; Pseudomonadota; Gammaproteobacteria; Enterobacterales; Enterobacteriaceae. The record is from RNAcentral.